UAGUCAACAUGCCCAGGGGACGUGGAUAACCUCGGGAAACUGAGGAUAAACCGCGAUAGGUCACUACUUCUGGAAUGGGUAAUGACCCAAACCUAUAUGGCCCCUGGAUUGGACUGCGGCCGAUCAGGCUGUUGGUGAGGUAAUGGCCCACCAAACCUGUAACCGGUACGGGCUCUGAGAGGAGGAGCCCGGAGAUGGGCACUGAGACAAGGGCCCAGGCCCUAUGGGGCGCAGCAGGCGCGAAACCUCUGCAAUAGGCGAAAGCUUGACAGGGUUACUCUGAGUGAUUUCCGUUAAGGAGAUCUUUUGGCGCCUCUAAAAAUGGUGCAGAAUAAGGGGUGGGCAAGUCUGGUGUCAGCCGCCGCGGUAAUACCAGCACCCCGAGUGGUCGGGACGUUUAUUGGGCCUAAAGCAUCCGUAGCCGGUUCUACAAGUCUUCCGUUAAAUCCACCUGCUCAACAGAUGGGCUGCGGAAGAUACUAUGGAGCUAGGAGGCGGGAGAGGCAAGCGGUACUCGAUGGGUAGGGGUAAAAUCCGUUGAUCCAUUGAAGACCACCAGUGGCGAAGGCGGCUUGCCAGAACGCGCUCGACGGUGAGGGAUGAAAGCUGGGGGAGCAAACCGGAUUAGAUACCCGGGUAGUCCCAGCUGUAAACGAUGCAGACUCGGUGAUGAGUUGGCUUUAUGCCAACUCAGUGCCGCAGGGAAGCCGUUAAGUUUGCCGCCUGGGGAGUACGGUCGCAAGACUGAAACUUAAAGG
Molecule: ribosomal RNA, 758 nt
Filed under: uncultured archaeon
Lineage: Archaea
Description: bacterial SSU rRNA
Rfam family: Archaeal small subunit ribosomal RNA
Source: RNAcentral